This 799-nucleotide ribosomal RNA is filed under the name uncultured bacterium. RNAcentral's name for it is "bacterial SSU rRNA". It matches the Rfam family "Bacterial small subunit ribosomal RNA", at positions 9 to 786 of the family's 1533-position model. The record is from RNAcentral.
GAGUUUGAUCCUGGCUCAGGACGAACGCUGGCGGCGUGCCUAAUACAUGCAAGUCGAACGCACGAAGUUGAAGAGCUUGCUCUUUGACCAAGUGAGUGGCGGACGGGUGAGUAACACGUGGGUAACCUGCCCAUUAGAGGGGGAUAACAUUCGGAAACGGAUGCUAAUACCGCAUAGUUUCAGGAAUCGCAUGAUUCUUGAAGGAAAGGUGGCUUCGGCUACCACUAAUGGAUGGACCCGCGGCGUAUUAGCUAGUUGGUGAGGUAAUGGCUCACCAAGGCAAUGAUACGUAGCCGACCUGAGAGGGUGAUCGGCCACACUGGGACUGAGACACGGCCAGACUCCUACGGGAGGCAGCAGUAGGGAAUCUUCCGCAAUGGACGAAAGUCUGACGGAGCAACGCCGCGUGAGUGAAGAAGGUUUUCGGAUCGUAAAACUCUGUUGUUAAAGAAGAACAAGGAUGAGAGUAACUGCUCAUCCCCUGACGGUAUUUAACCAGAAAGCCACGGCUAACUACGUGCCAGCAGCCGCGGUAAUACGUAGGUGGCAAGCGUUGUCCGGAUUUAUUGGGCGUAAAGCGAGCGCAGGCGGUUCUUUAAGUCUGAUGUGAAAGCCCCCGGCUCAACCGGGGAGGGUCAUUGGAAACUGGAGAACUUGAGUGCAGAAGAGGAGAGUGGAAUUCCACGUGUAGCGGUGAAAUGCGUAGAUAUGUGGAGGAACACCAGUGGCGAAGGCGACUCUCUGGUCUGUAACUGACGCUGAGGCUCGAAAGCGUGGGGAGCAAACAGGAUUAGAUACC